UCACGGCUGUAGAAAUAGAAGCCGUCAUCCUUAUCCCUAACCUCCUGACCCCAACCAUCCCACACAUCACGCCAUGGAUUGCGCCGCCGCCCUGCUCAACAGCCAACGCCGUCGCCGCCUGCCCCAUCCGUCGUCGCUCCCGCCGCAUCAACCCUCUGCCGCAUCCCACUGCCAUCAUGACCCAUCUCUCUCCUUGGUCUUCUGUCUUUGACCAAUACUGGGUGGCGGCUGUGCUUCCGGUCGCGUGGUGGCGAUGUGGCUGGUCGAGGGAACACAGUGUUCCUGUUGUGCCCCUUCACACAUUGGACCAUCGUGGCGCAGAAGUACAUGGAGAAGAUCGCGCUCCUCUUAGCAAAUUCGGGUGUUUUGAGUUGGCUACCCAGCAAGGGGCAUGGUCACAUGGAUGAUUAGCAUCUUUUGGCAAAAGCAUGUUAAUUCACUGAAGAAAUACUACUGCACCUAUGACUAUGAGCGGAGAUGUCCACUCACGAUUUUUGAGGACCACUUGAGGAUGUGAUCAGUAGUGCAGCUUCAAAGAUGCUUGAUAUGACAUAGUGUUUGAUUUUUACAAAUCUGAAAGUCAAGCCUAAGCAAUGUUACGGUUCAGAUCUAAACCUUAAACUUACUGAUUAUUUGUUGUGCGUUACUAAUCUGACCGGCCAUCGAUCUCCACCUUAACCUUAUUUAUCUUUCUUAUUAGCUCCACGUCUCUAGCGUCUAUAGAGUCCUAACCCAAGAAUAUCUCCUGCCGCCUUCAGUCCAAACCCUCGGCAAGAGUCUCCCCUGCAUCCUCCUCUUCUCCUUGCCGCCUAUGUCUCCUUCUUUUGCUCCUCGGGUCGCUAUUGUGACGCGUCCGUCAUCUUUUUCAUGAGGAGCUAGAUGAUUUCAGUCUGAGAUUACAUCCUCCUAUAGAGAAUCCUACCCUUUCCAUGCUGUCACUGUAGCCAGGUCUAGCAAAGGGGAUAAAUUUAUGUUGCAAAUGAGAUGCUAAAGUUUAUAUGCAGAGGUGUGCAACUCUGUAUCCAUCAACAUCCAUACUUCAGGGUGGAGUAGAGGGAGGGAGCAUUUACCAGAGAUGUGUUUUUAGCAGCAUUAUUUUUAGAUAAAAUAAUUAUACCUGCUUUUAUCUGUAAGCUGCACACAGGGCAGAGGAUGCAAUUUGGUUUAGAAGAAGAAGAAAACACAUUGACACUAUGGCUUAUAAUUCUUAUGAUAGUAUCAGAAAAUAUAUGCAAUAUGGUUUAGGUAACAAAAACACAGCGUUAUGUCUUCGUUGGAAAAUUUGCCACUCCGGAGACAUAGACAGACUUAUCACUUUCAUCUUAUUAAUGGUAUUUUCUUAAAGUAAGAAGAUAAAGAAGAGAUGGGUUUAUAUGAAGCAGGCCUGCCGCAACAGUCAAAAGAUGAUGUCUCAGUAUUUCACAUUUAAAGCAAGGACAAGUGCUCAUAAAUGAUUAUAUGUAUCUACUUUAUUAAACUAGCAUAUGAACUAAUCCCCCGAAUCCAUGUACUCUAUAUUCUUACUUAUUGCAUGACGUUCUUUUGCUUCUUGAUAAAUAUGUCCAUUUUCAUUAUUAUUUCAUAAUAUCUGCUAUGUACAGUGGCAUCAUUGAGCAUUCCUUUACUUUUCACAUUUCAGUUCAAUGUUCUGCACAGUGCACAGUAUAAUGCUACAUUGGAUGGCGCUAUUAAAUACUUCGAGGUCAUGUGACAGAGCACGAAAAAAGAACUAUCGAGGUUUUUUUUAAAAUCAAAAUCACAAUGUUAUAUAUAUGUUUCGUGCCUCUCACGUCAAUUCUAAGAGGGCACAGGUUGGGUUCAAUAUUUUUAUCGUCAGAUCUAACCAUGAUGAAGGCAAGCCCCUCCGAUUGCUAUUAGGAAUGUGGAAGGUUGACCAGCCGUCUCUUCCUCUCCAUCGUCUCUCCAUGGUGUGCAUGUUAAGAACUUAUGCAGCAGCGGACGCCAAUUUCAUGGAGCCGUCAGCAUCAACUUUUGUGGAGUCCUCUUCUAGGAUCUGAUACGAGUCCCUCCGACAUCAGAUAAGGUUUGGGUAUGCAUGAGGACGAAUCGGAUAAUCAAUUGCAAACUGAUUGUAUCGUAUGUUGUGUACUAUCGACGCAUUUGCUUGGGUGGAAAAGUCUCGCUUCUGAUUACAGCACUUUCAGAAGACAGUAGAAGUCGUUUGGUUCAGCCCUUC
Molecule: long non-coding RNA, 2197 nt
Organism: Triticum aestivum (bread wheat)
Lineage: Eukaryota; Viridiplantae; Streptophyta; Magnoliopsida; Poales; Poaceae
Exons: 5
Source: RefSeq, a predicted model, not a curated record